AUGUAUUGUUUUAGGGCCAUCGACCAAACUUUCCAGGCCAUGGGUCAUGGGUCAAGAUAUGCUUGGACCUGUGGCCAUGACAAGAGACCCAGAACCUUCUUGACAUUUCUAAAGCCAGCGGAGGCAACAUGCAGGCCUCAGGGUUCCAAAUGCAUCUCUCCAACACCGCGUAGAAUUUGUAUAUUGAAAAACAAAUGUCUCUUUGUGCUUUAUGAUGGAUGUGGUGGUCAUUUAACGAUGUUUUGAGGGGACUCUAGUGGCCGUUGGCUUCCCGGAACCCAAAAAAACACUUUUAAUUUGUUUUUUAAAAUUGGCCACUAGAGGGCGAAUUGGGUUUUUUUUUCCAUUAAAAUUUUUUACCAUCCUUCCAAGACUCCAGGAUAGGUGAGACCAGCCACCGACAGCCCACUCUGUUCGGAAGAUUACUUGUGCCGUGCAUUGUACAAAUGCAGCUAAAGUUUGACACCCUCUGUGUUCUUAGGAUUGGGUUCCUAGUUCUCAAGGUUGUGCUGGGAAAUCCGAAUCAAAGCUCCGAGGUCCUUCCUCAGAGCAGGAAGCUGGAAACUGGGAGAGAACGAAGCAGGAGCCGUGGGCCCCGUGAUCACCGCAGAUGGUGACAGCAGCCAUGAAAUUAAAGGACGCCUGCUUCUUGGGAGGAAAGCGAUGACAAACCUUGACAGCAUCUUAAAAAGCAGAGACAUCUCCUUGCCGACAAAGGUCCGUGUAGUCAAACCUAUGGUUUUUUCCAUUCAUGAUGUAUGGAAGCGAGAGCUGGACCAUAAAGAAGGCUGACCGCCAAAGAAUUGAUGCUUUUGAAUUGUGGUGCUGUAGGAGGCUCUUGAGAGUCCCCUGGACUGCAAGGAGAACAAACCUACCUGUUCUGAAAGAAAUCAACCCUGAGUGCUCACUGGAAGGACCGAUCCUGAAGCUGAGGCUCCAGUACUUUGGCCAUCUCAUGAGAAGAGAGAAGACUCCCUGGAAAAGACCCUGAUGUUGGGAAAGAGUGAAGGCAAGAGGAGAAGGGGACGACAGAGGACGAGAUGGCUGGACAGGGUCAUCGAAGCGACCAACGUGACUUUGACCCAACUUCGGGAGGCAAUGGAAGACAGGAGGGCCUGGCGUGCUCUGGUCCGUGGGGUCAUGAAGAGUCAGACACGACUUAACGGGUCUAAACAACAACAAGGAGAAAGUGAACAACGAACGUGACAAAGCAGGACUGCUGGUGAACAUGACCAAAAUCAUGACCACAGAAGGACUACACAACUCAAACAUUGACAAUGUUUGACAAUGACGAAUUGACAAUGAAGAACUUGAAACCAUUAGAGAUUUGGUUUACCUCGGUUCAGUCAUCAACCAAAACGGAGACGGCAGCCAAGAAAUCAGAAGAUGGAGACUCAGAAGGGUAGCUAUGAAGGAACUAGAAAAGAUCCUCAAGUGUCUCAGGAUGCGUCCUUGGAGAUCAAAACCAAGAUCAUCUCUACACUCUUGUAUUUCUGAUCAUCGUGUGUGGGCAUGAAAGCUGGAUAGUGGAGAAAGCUGAUGGGGGGGGAAUGAUUUGUUUGAAAUGGGGUGCUCAAGGAGAGCUCUGCAGAUACAUACCCUGGACCGCCAGAAAGGUUUUUUUUAAAAAGGAUCCUAGAUCAAAUCAAGCCUGAAUUUUUCUGGAGGCAGAAGUGUUAAAACCAACCUACUUUGGGCCCAUCCUGAGAAGCCAGGAUUUUCUGGAAAAGGCAAAUCAUGCUGGGAAAGGUGGAAGGCCACGGGAAAAGAGGAAGACUAAAUACGAGAUGUACUGACACCCUACAGGAAGCCACCAUCCUGGGUUUGCAAGACCUGGGCAGGGCUGUUGAGGGCAGGACCUAAACCGGAGGUGACUUGACCACCCAUAACAACAACGAGGGCAACAAAAUGGAGGCAGCUAUGAAUUCUAACAGUAUUAGAAACGUCUGUUUAAAAUAGUUGGAUUUAGGAGGACUUCGAAGCGAAACAAAACCUGCUCCGUUUUUUUUUUUUUUUUAGGGGAUUCCAGAUCAGAGGGGUAAAGAUCAAGUGCAACUGGAGCCAAAGGGAAGCUUAGACGUUAGCUGGAAAUCUUGAUCUCCUCUCCAGGUGUAGCCAAGAAGCCUCAGAUUCUGUUUGAAAAUAAAGAGAAAGGAUUUUUUUAAAAAAUGGAUCUG
This 2177-nucleotide long non-coding RNA is filed under the name Pogona vitticeps (central bearded dragon). RNAcentral's name for it is "lncRNA (ENSPVIG00000010168.1)". Lineage: Eukaryota; Metazoa; Chordata; Lepidosauria; Squamata; Agamidae. The record is from RNAcentral.